GGAGCUCGUCACCGAGCAGGCCCUGUACGACGUCGGUCUCAGCCCGGUCCCUCGCUUAGGUUCGUUUCUCUUCUCCUUCCCUCUUUCUUCUUUCCUUUCUUUUUUGGUGCUGAUCAUCUGUCGCUGUUUGCAGAUAUGCCACCGAGGGCAAGAUUGACGGCGGCCGACGUCUGGCAGUACGCUGCGCGGAAAAGGCCGGCGCAAGGGGCCGAACCCUCGCGGCCUCCCAAGAGGCCUCAGGUGGCUUCGUCGAGCGAGCCGGCUGCGGCGGAG
RNAcentral lists this long non-coding RNA (273 nucleotides) under Elaeis guineensis (African oil palm). RNAcentral's name for it is "long non-coding RNA (EGUI_LNC074974)". The record is from RNAcentral. Lineage: Eukaryota; Viridiplantae; Streptophyta; Magnoliopsida; Arecales; Arecaceae.